AACACAAUUGGAAGCCAAACACUU
Molecule: non-coding RNA, 24 nt
Filed under: Arabidopsis thaliana (thale cress)
Lineage: Eukaryota; Viridiplantae; Streptophyta; Magnoliopsida; Brassicales; Brassicaceae
Source: RNAcentral